RNAcentral lists this ribosomal RNA (253 nucleotides) under uncultured bacterium. RNAcentral's name for it is "partial 16S ribosomal RNA". It matches the Rfam family "Bacterial small subunit ribosomal RNA", at positions 524 to 776 of the family's 1533-position model. The record is from RNAcentral.
GACAGAGGGUGCAAACGUUGUUCGGAUUUACUGGGCGUAAAGCGCGUGUAGGCGGCUUGGCAAGUCGGAUGUGAAAGCCCAAGGCUCAACCGUGGAAGCGCACCCGAAACGGCCUCGCUCGAGUCUCGGAGAGGAAGGUGGAAUGCUUGGUGUAGAGGUGAAAUUCGUAGAUAUCAAGCAGAACACCUGCGGCGAAGGCGGCCUUCUGGACGAUGACUGACGCUGAGACGCGAAAGCGUGGGGAGCAAACAGG